This 496-nucleotide ribosomal RNA is filed under the name uncultured bacterium. Its description in RNAcentral is "partial 16S ribosomal RNA". It matches the Rfam family "Bacterial small subunit ribosomal RNA", at positions 28 to 506 of the family's 1533-position model. The record is from RNAcentral.
GAUGAACGCUGGCGGCGUGCCUAAUACAUGCAAGUCGAGCGAACGGACGAGAAGCUUGCUUCUCUGAUGUUAGCGGCGGACGGGUGAGUAACACGUGGAUAACCUACCUAUAAGACUGGGAUAACUUCGGGAAACCGGAGCUAAUACCGGAUAAUAUUUUGAACCGCAUGGUUCAAAAGUGAAAGACGGUCUUGCUGUCACUUAUAGAUGGAUCCGCGCUGCAUUAGCUAGUUGGUAAGGUAACGGCUUACCAAGGCAACGAUGCAUAGCCGACCUGAGAGGGUGAUCGGCCACACUGGAACUGAGACACGGUCCAGACUCCUACGGGAGGCAGCAGUAGGGAAUCUUCCGCAAUGGGCGAAAGCCUGACGGAGCAACGCCGCGUGAGUGAUGAAGGUCUGCGGAUCGUAAAACUCUGUUAUUAGGGAAGAACAUAUGUGUAAGUAACUGUGCACAUCUUGACGGGACCUAAUCAGAAAGCCACGGCUAACUACGU